RNAcentral lists this ribosomal RNA (661 nucleotides) under Stenotrophomonas geniculata. RNAcentral's name for it is "bacterial SSU rRNA". It matches the Rfam family "Bacterial small subunit ribosomal RNA", at positions 72 to 726 of the family's 1533-position model. Lineage: Bacteria; Pseudomonadati; Pseudomonadota; Gammaproteobacteria; Lysobacterales; Lysobacteraceae. The record is from RNAcentral.
AGAGGAGCUUGCUCCUUGGGUGGCGAGUGGCGGACGGGUGAGGAAUACAUCGGAAUCUACUCUGUCGUGGGGGAUAACGUAGGGAAACUUACGCUAAUACCGCAUACGACCUACGGGUGAAAGCAGGGGAUCUUCGGACCUUGCGCGAUUGAAUGAGCCGAUGUCGGAUUAGCUAGUUGGCGGGGUAAAGGCCCACCAAGGCGACGAUCCGUAGCUGGUCUGAGAGGAUGAUCAGCCACACUGGAACUGAGACACGGUCCAGACUCCUACGGGAGGCAGCAGUGGGGAAUAUUGGACAAUGGGCGCAAGCCUGAUCCAGCCAUACCGCGUGGGUGAAGAAGGCCUUCGGGUUGUAAAGCCCUUUUGUUGGGAAAGAAAUCCAGCUGGCUAAUACCCGGUUGGGAUGACGGUACCCAAAGAAUAAGCACCGGCUAACUUCGUGCCAGCAGCCGCGGUAAUACGAAGGGUGCAAGCGUUACUCGGAAUUACUGGGCGUAAAGCGUGCGUAGGUGGUCGUUUAAGUCCGUUGUGAAAGCCCUGGGCUCAACCUGGGAACUGCAGUGGAUACUGGGCGACUAGAGUGUGGUAGAGGGUAGCGGAAUUCCUGGUGUAGCAGUGAAAUGCGUAGAGAUCAGGAGGAACAUCCAUGGCGAAGGCAGCU